AGGGGUGGCUACCGGGUGACCGGAUGCCGAUCUCGAAAACCUGUCCCAGUUCGGACUGGAGUCUGCAACCCGACUCCACGAAGUUGGAUUCGCUAGUAAUCGCGCAUCAGCCAUGGCGCGGUGAAUACGUUCCCGGGCCUUGUACACACCGCCCGUCACACCAUGGGAGUUUGUAACGCCCAAAGUCGGUGGCCUAACCUUUAUGGAGGGAGCCGCCUAAGGCGGGACAGAUGACUGGGGUGAAGUCGUAACAAGGUAUC
Molecule: ribosomal RNA, 260 nt
Filed under: uncultured bacterium
Lineage: Bacteria
Description: partial 16S ribosomal RNA
Rfam family: Bacterial small subunit ribosomal RNA
Source: RNAcentral